RNAcentral lists this long non-coding RNA (221 nucleotides) under Lathyrus oleraceus (garden pea). Its description in RNAcentral is "Pisum sativum (pea) long non-coding RNA (PSAT_LNC035149)". Lineage: Eukaryota; Viridiplantae; Streptophyta; Magnoliopsida; Fabales; Fabaceae. The record is from RNAcentral.
AACCAAUAAUCGUGCCUCAAUUGGGUUUGAGCCCCAACCAUGACGGACAUGGGGAAAAGGUGGACACCUAAGUGGGUUAGAGUCUUAUACGGUGAAAGAUACCCUAAGUGGGUUAGAGUCCCAUACGGGUGACGGUUGUAACACUUCGUUUUUUUAUUAGAUAUUUUAUUAUAUUUUAAUUGUUUGAAUUAUAGAUUUUGAUGACUUAUUUUAUGGCUGUG